ACGGAAGGCAGCAGUAGGGAAUUUUCGGCAAUGGGCGCAAGCCUGACCGAGCAACGCCGCGUGAGUGAAGAAGGUUUUCGGAUUGUAAAACUCUGUUGUAAGGGAAGAAAAACAGGGGAGAACCCCUGGUCGACGGUACCUUACCAGAAAGCCACGGCUAACUACGUGCCAGCAGCCGCGGUAAUACGUAGGUGGCGAGCGUUAUCCGGAAUUAUUGGGCGUAAAGGGUGCGUAGGCGGCCUGUUAAGUCUAAGGUGAAAGCGUGGGGCUCAACCCCAUACAGCCUUAGAUACUGGCAGGCUAGAGUACUGGAGAGGAAAGCGGAAUUCCAUGUGUAGCGGUAAAAUGCGUAGAUAUAUGGAGGAACACCGGUGGCGAAGGCGGCUUUCUAGACAGUAACUGACGCUGAGGCACGAAAGCGUGGGGAGCAAAUAGGAUUAGAUACCCUGGUA
This 452-nucleotide ribosomal RNA is filed under the name uncultured Bulleidia sp. RNAcentral's name for it is "partial 16S ribosomal RNA". It matches the Rfam family "Bacterial small subunit ribosomal RNA", at positions 341 to 792 of the family's 1533-position model. The record is from RNAcentral. Lineage: Bacteria; Bacillati; Bacillota; Erysipelotrichia; Erysipelotrichales; Erysipelotrichaceae. RNAcentral also lists the same sequence under 1 other name.